This is a small nuclear RNA of Monodelphis domestica (gray short-tailed opossum), 128 nucleotides long. Lineage: Eukaryota; Metazoa; Chordata; Mammalia; Didelphimorphia; Didelphidae. The record is from Ensembl.
AUGUUGUAUGAAAGGAGAGAAGGUUAGCACUCCCCUUGAUAAGGAUGGAAGAGGUCCUAGUGGUCUUUACAUCACAUAUACGGUUAAGGCAUUGCCACCUAUUCUGUGGCAUCUAACCAUGUUUUUUA